AAGCCCUUUCUUCCUGUUCCUCCUGCUCAGGUUGAGGCUUCACUUUCCAUGGAGAGAGGCCCCUUCCUGCACCCUGGGGAGGGAGGCUGUCCACAGGUAGGGCCAGGCCCGGUCAGUGGUGCAUGGCCUGAGUAGGGUGGGGGGGCACGGGACCCCUGGAAGGUGAGAGACCAAGAGCCUUAGCUGGUCUGGGGGCUGGUGUGGGGGCGAGCAGAGCCAGUCCCGCCCUUCCCAGCAAGUGAGGACGACCAUGACCUGGUUCCUGGAAGGCGGAACAAGGAGUGGCGGGAUUUCUGCAGGUGUGACCGGGGUUUCUAAUCAGGUGACUUGGCGUUCAUCAGAAGGGAGGUUGAUCUGGCCGAGCCUGGCUAGCUCAGGUGCACCCUUUAAGAGGCUGGAAGCCACAGAGCCGCCCCCUCCUGAUGCCAAAGAAGCAUAUGGCCAUCGGCUCCACAGCUGCGAGAAAGAUUAUGCACACAACGACAUGCGCUCAGGAGGGGACCUCGCGCCUCGGUUGAGAUCCCAGCCCUGGCUGACACCUUGAGUGCAGCCUGUGAGACCCUGAGCAGAGGUUCAGCAGUCCCCUCCCCGGACUCCUGCCACACAGAAGCCAUGAGCUGACAGAACCAAGGACACACACCUUGUUAACGACGCCCUCAAGGCUGUGAGGAGAAAGACAACCGGGUGAAGCAACGCUGGGAAUUCAACGCAUCAAUUACCUUCCCAGGUAACAGCAGCUACUUGAGCUCCUAAGAGUUGACCUUCAGCUGCUGUCAUGGAAAAUAGUGGGGGUCAACUAGACAUCAAAGAUGAAAGGCCAGGCCUCCAGCACAACUUUCUCUGUAAGCUCGAUAGUGGCUUUCUCAAAGAAAUCCUUUUCUCAAAAAAAUUUCUUGUAAAGACAGGGUCUUGUUCUGUCACCCAGGCUGGACUGCAGUGCAUGGCUCACUGCAGCCUCAACCUCCCGGGCUAGAGUGAUCCUCCCCUUUUCUGAGGAGCUCAGACCACAAGCGUGCACCACUGUGCCCAGCUGAUUUAUAAACUUUUUUUUUAGAGACAGGGUUUCACCAUGUUGGCCAGGCUGUUU
Molecule: long non-coding RNA, 1087 nt
Filed under: Homo sapiens (human)
Lineage: Eukaryota; Metazoa; Chordata; Mammalia; Primates; Hominidae
Description: HSALNT0384145
Source: RNAcentral